RNAcentral lists this long non-coding RNA (1400 nucleotides) under Capsicum annuum. RNAcentral describes it as "long non-coding RNA (CANN_LNC008393)". The record is from RNAcentral. Lineage: Eukaryota; Viridiplantae; Streptophyta; Magnoliopsida; Solanales; Solanaceae.
UUUUCUCAAAUUUUCUCUCAAGAACACCCCUUAGGAUUUCAAAAUAAAAAUCCCAAUAACUCAAGAUUCAACCAUGGGUUUUCAAAUCAAAUUGAAGAUUUGGAAUCCCUGCAACGUAGGCUUUAAGAAGCACCUAUCAUAUUCACAUAUAGAGGUAAGUGAGGUUAUCUUAAAAAUCUCAUGGGCUUAAAAAUUCAUGUUUUAAAAAUGGGGGUUUUGAAAUUAUGAAUAUAAACAUAUUUCAAACAUUUUUAUGAUAUUGAUUUGGUCUUUAGGCGUAAUUCCAAAGUGAUUUGAUAUAUGAUAUAUGUAUAUGCAUGUAUUCCAAAAAAUUUUUUAACUUGAGAGCAUGAAUGAUAUGGAAUCCCUCUCUUGAUGUGAAUUUGUUUUAAAUGUUCAUAUGAUGUAAAUUGUUUGAAAACAUCUUGAAAAGCAUGACAUGAAAUGUUUUGAGAAUUGAUAUAAUUUUUACUGGAAAACGAGAGGGCUAUUUGUGUUGAAACAUGUUGAAUAUAAUGGUUGAAUGAGAAUAAUGAUGUGAUAUUGAUGGCUUGCAAGUUGGGUAGGACGAUACUCUAUAGAAUAUGAUAUAUGAUUGAAUUAGAUGAAAUUUCAAUGCAUUGAUUUUUCAUGAGAUAGGUGGAUGCCCGAAGAAGGCAUUUGAGUGUAAGGGCUUAUCGUUGGGAACAGUGUUUGCCGACAUGGGAAUUUGGUACCCUGCUUUAUGAUCUUACGUACCUGACUUUAUGUCAUUCCCAAAUUGGGACUAUGGUUAGGAGCCCUACUUUGUGAUCUUGUACACUACCAUUGGUUCGAGAUACCCUGCUGUGUGAUCUUGUGUGUCUUUCCCUCUCUUAUACUCUAAUCUCGAUGGCAAUCGAGGUUUGACAGUUGGUGUAAAUGUGAUAUAUAGGGUAUUCCACCUAGCUCAGCUUCAUUGCAUUGUUGUUGAAAACAAUUACAUUACACCCAUGUGUUUUCAAAUGAUUAGAUAUGAAACUGCUUUAUAAUGGGUCUCAACUACAUUUUGUAAGAAUAUUAUAUUUUGUUUUGAUAUCUCUGCGUACCAGUACUUUUUUAUUGACCCUCUUCUCUCCCAGGUUCGGAGGCACAAUCUAGGGGUUUAGAAAAUCAGUAGAUUUCCUUAGACAGAUUCACAGAGCCAAUUGAUGAGCCUUCUAUUUUUUGGAAGGCCUGAUAUCUGGCAGUUUCAUUUAUCAUUUAUUAGUUUUGGGUCUACUGGGGGCCUUGUCCCAGUUUUUAAAUAGAUAUUUGUUUCAGUCAUGUAGUUGAAAUUUUGCAGACGUUAUAGAGAUGUUGAUUGAGAUUGUGGGACAUUAUUCCCCAUUAUUAUUUUCAUAUGAUUCUUGACCAUGUUUCUGUUAUAUAGUGUAUCUUCC